GCCACUGUCAUCGGCUCUUCUCCAAGAGCCAGCCAGGGCUGAUCCUAUUCUUGCUUGAAGAGAACAUUAAGCAACCGUUCCAGACCAAACAAGCCUGCCAGCUCAUUGAAGACAGUCUUUGAUUCUAAGGACCCCGUUCCUAUUACCACUAUCCUGCUCAUCCCCAUAACACAUCUGGACAGUACUUCUGCUGAAAAACACAAUCGUGUGAAGCUUAGCCCUUUACAGAAUGGUGUAGUGACAAUUCUUGUGCAAGGAAUACAAACAACUGCUUGUCACGACCAAUACACUCAGCAAAAGCACUGCUGGAAGAACGUGGUAUGAUAAACGUCUACAAGAAGAUUCAGCUUACAGGAGAUAACAGCAAAGUGCUGCCCUUGCCCAGAAAAGGCAGGCCAGUUUCAUUUGUGGGCUGAGCGAUGAUACAGAAUAUGCCCAGCUCAGCAGAAAAUAAUAUUUACACAACGCAUAAAGUCUGCAUUGUAGCCAAGAACACCACAGUGCAAUAAAACUUAUGGACAUUUUUCACC
This is a long non-coding RNA of Numida meleagris (helmeted guineafowl), 530 nucleotides long. RefSeq lists it as uncharacterized. Lineage: Eukaryota; Metazoa; Chordata; Aves; Galliformes; Numididae. The record is from RefSeq and is a predicted model, not a curated record. The transcript is spliced from 3 exons.